Molecule: long non-coding RNA, 404 nt
Organism: Diuraphis noxia (Russian wheat aphid)
Lineage: Eukaryota; Metazoa; Arthropoda; Insecta; Hemiptera; Aphididae
Gene: Rpe
Source: RefSeq, a predicted model, not a curated record
UUUUAAUGCAUAUUUUGCUAAUUUUUAGGGAAUGAAUGCAUGCUUAUUUAUGCAUUUUUCAGUGCAUAAACUUACGAGCCCUGAUAAUAACUAUUGUGAGUGUUAUCUAUUGAAAAUGAUAGGUCAUACCCUAAACUACACAUAAGUACAAUAAAUCAGAACUAACAUAGCAGGAGCAAAUAUGAUAGUGUCUGGAACUGCAGUGAUUCAAGCUAAAAAUCCACCUCAAGUUAUUCAACUUCUUAAAGAUUCUGUUAAUAAACAUUUGAAUAUAAAACCAAAUUAUUGUUAAUUUUAUUUUUUAAUGAAGUUUAUUGUUGUUAACAUUUAACAUAUUUAUCAAGAGCAGGGAUGGGUAAAUUCCUUGUACCAAAGAAUCCAAUUAAUAAAAUGAAUGUUAAAAU